This 417-nucleotide ribosomal RNA is filed under the name Olea europaea subsp. europaea. Its description in RNAcentral is "LSU_rRNA_eukarya". It matches the Rfam family "Eukaryotic large subunit ribosomal RNA", at positions 1459 to 1888 of the family's 3401-position model. Lineage: Eukaryota; Viridiplantae; Streptophyta; Magnoliopsida; Lamiales; Oleaceae. The record is from RNAcentral.
GAAAGUAAGAAAUAUUCAAAUGGGAAAUUUAAUGGCCAAAGAAAAAAAAUGUUCAGUAUGAACGAUACUUCAACACAGUUAGUCGAUCCUAAGGGUCGGGAAAAGCUUGACAUAUAAUGUGUUUAGUGUAUGCACUGAAAGGAAAUCAGGUUAUAUAAAAUUGGGACGCGGCAAUCGGAAACAAUGGUAGGAGCUUGAAGAUGUUGACAAGAUGCCACGAGAUCUUUUCUGUUUAACACUUUUUCCACCAAAGAAAUAGCUUAGUCGACAGUAAGUUUAGCUAUUUAAAGAGCACCAUUUGUCGUAUGUUGUCUAAUGCGCCUCCCAUGAUCCUUGAAAAUUCGGAGGACCAAGUACCAUCCAUGCUCAUUUGUACUCAUAAUUGCCUUAGACCUCCAAAGUGAACAACCUAUGGUU